Long non-coding RNA from Canis lupus familiaris (dog), 2487 nucleotides. RefSeq lists it as uncharacterized. The transcript is spliced from 4 exons. NCBI's taxonomy places the organism in Eukaryota, Metazoa, Chordata, Mammalia, Carnivora, Canidae. The record is from RefSeq and is a predicted model, not a curated record.
UUCUUGUUUUUCCUUUUACUAGGGUGAAUACGAGAGAAUCUUUACACAGGAAGCUUUAGGCUCAGGUGCCAGCUAUACUUAGAUAUUAGAUUUUAGAGAUCUUGGUCCCUCUUGUUGUUUGAUAGUUGGGAAACAGCCUCUCCAGCUGGAGGGAAGGGGUUUCACUGUCUCAGCUAGCUUGUUGCAUGGCAACAAGCCAGAGAACGUCUUGGGUCAUUCUUUGAAGAAUCCUCUUGCUUCCAAAUCUCCAUAUUUGCACUUUAGAGCUUCCUGACAUUAAAGACUUCAUCUCUGGGCAAACCCCAAAUAACGGGACCAUCAAGCAAUAGUGGAUGUCACAGUAGCAAAUGUCAACUAAAAGAGAGUUGCUGCUGUAUAAUUUCAGCCCAUGUGCAGGUGUAAGCAUUAACAUUAAAGAUGGAAGGCGACUUCGGAGAACGAAAUGAAAAACUCUGUGAAGUGUGUUUGGAGUACUAAGUGACAUGUGUGACCAGUUCUUACAGUGUGGAGGGGGUGUUCUUGAAUGAUGAGAUCCUCAUAGAGAAGGCUGAGAAAUACGAAAGGAUUCCGAGGAAGAAGGAUCUCUCGACUCCUAAGAGUAUCUGCUGUCUAAUUACAGAACCAAAUUUGGGCCCAUUACGUAAGGCAGCAAGCCUCAAGCAGCAUAUAGCACCGGAACAGCUUCAGAGAGACCUGGGCAAGUCAUGCUACCUUGGAGAGCUCUUGUUGAGAGGAGCCACUGCAUUAUGUCUACAAGACUAGACUGUAAUGGGAGAGCGUGUCACAUAUUCUUCCAACAAAAAUGGACACCUGCAUCAUUAUGUCUCCCUUUGCAUCCAUUCUGUAAUAUGGCAAAGGAGUGAUUAAGCCCCAAUGUCAGCCUAUGACUGGAGGUCUUUAAUGUGCAUGAUCAGAGUGUAACCCCAGGGGGCACAUCUUAAAGGGGCAGGAUUCCCUUCUCCAAGAACAUUCAGAGUGCAAACAAACCAUUAUGAACCAGAGAAGAAAGUUGGGUAAAUCCAAAGGAGAGGAGGAGAGACUCUUUCUAAAUGAGCUAGAUAGAAGUGCACACUAUAUUUUUCAAUAACUUUUAUUAGACUUCUUUCAUCACAAUACCUAUGCUACAAGUAAAGAUGACAUAUUGACAAAUCCUUACACACAGGAAGAGAAGCUGAAGUCAGAUUUACAUUUUUAGCCCUAAAGCAAAACUCUAUAAAGCACAUACACAUUUAUUCAACAUUUGACAAAAUCACACUCAUGAUGUGUGAGACAUCAUGUACCCAGCACACUCCUCGUUCCUGGAUCUCAAAUCUACUGGGGAUGCUUCACAGGAGGUUAUAUCAACAUGAUAGGAGAGAUAAGAGGAAAAGGAGGUGGAAGGCAUCCUGCCUGUCACACACCAGGCAGCUUGAGCUAGUAAAAUCAGACCCCUUGCAAAGAGACAUGGUAUCUUCUCAUGUAUCUGCGGUCCUCAGAUCUCCACAUAGCUGAAAGUUUAAAAUAUGAGCCUACAGCCAUGUCUUUCAGCACGUCAUACACCAGUCUGGCCCAAAAUGCAUUGAAGCCCAGGGACAAGUGAAUGCAUUGGAAUUUGGCUGGUGAGUGGCAGGGUCCCUCUGAGCUUCCCAAAUGGCUUUUCAAAGAUCUGUAAUUUGGCAAAGCUACAAACCUCUUACAUUAACUGAAGAUACUUCUUCAUUUUUAAAAAUUGUGGUAAAACAUUACAUAACAUGAAAUUUACCAUUUUAACCAUUUUUAAAUGUACAGUUCAGUGGCAUUAAGUGUAUUCAUGCUGUUGUGCAACCAUCACCACCAUCCAUCUCUAGAACUUUUUAUCAUCCCAAACUGAAACUCUGUACCCAUUAGAUAAUAACUCCCCAUCUCCCUUCAUCCUAAAAUCCAUUCAUAUUGUAAAUGACAUUUAAUGUUAUAGUUUUCAUUCCCGAUUGCUCCUGUAUAUUAUUGUAAAAAAAAAACCCUCCAUUUUUGCUGCCCUUACAUGCUGCUGCAUAAGAUGCUAACAAAGGUUUCUGGAAUUUUUAUUUUUCACCACAGAACUGAGUUUUCACCAGAUACAUUAAGACACUAAACUAGCGUGGGUGGCAGUACUUGAAUCCUGCUUCCUGUCACUCCCAUGUGGUUAAGGAUAGUGUACGGCCAGUUGUUACUAGUGACUACUCCAAGACAUAUUAUGACACACACCCUCCUGCUCAGCCACAGGGCAAGGACCUCAAAGACUUGGUCUGGAAAAGGAUACCCGUAACUACCUCCAUUCCUGCUCUUAGAUUUCUUCAGUCUUUCUUCUUCCAAACUCCAACAUGCCAGACACCCCUACUUUCUCUAAGGCCUAUAUUCCCUCACAAGCCAUCACUUACUAGAAUAUUUUUCACUGUAACAGACUUAUUUCCAUACAGUCUAGUAUUCAAAAUAGCUUUCCUUUUACAUUCUCACAGUGCACUGAAUUAGCCAUGUCUUGAUUCCCUUAAA